UGUGGGAGCGAGCCUGCUCGCGAAGGCGUCGUGUCAGUCAAUUCCAUAUCGACUGGCAGAAAGCUUUCGCGAGCAGGCUCGCUCCCACA
This 89-nucleotide unclassified non-coding RNA is filed under the name Pseudomonas moraviensis. The record is from RNAcentral. Lineage: Bacteria; Pseudomonadati; Pseudomonadota; Gammaproteobacteria; Pseudomonadales; Pseudomonadaceae.